This is a regulatory RNA element of Bacillus sp. SJS, 108 nucleotides long. It matches the Rfam family "epsC RNA". The record is from Rfam. NCBI's taxonomy places the organism in Bacteria, Bacillati, Bacillota, Bacilli, Caryophanales, Bacillaceae.
AGGUGAUGUCUCCUUACCUUUAUCAAUGGAGGCACUCGGCUGUGCUGUGGGUGCGAACCUUAGACGCUUGUCGUCAGUAGCGCGGUGUGAGGGUGGGUUGAAUGCCCG